Small nuclear RNA from Pteronotus mesoamericanus, 108 nucleotides. The record is from RefSeq and is a predicted model, not a curated record. NCBI's taxonomy places the organism in Eukaryota, Metazoa, Chordata, Mammalia, Chiroptera, Mormoopidae.
GUAUGCUCACUUUGGCAAACAUAUACUGAAACUGGAAUGAUUCAGGGAAGAUUAGUGUGUCCCCUGAACAAGAAAGACAUGCAAAUUCAUGAAGUAUUCCAUAUUAUU